This 2097-nucleotide ribosomal RNA is filed under the name Triticum aestivum (bread wheat). RNAcentral describes it as "partial small subunit ribosomal RNA". The record is from RNAcentral. Lineage: Eukaryota; Viridiplantae; Streptophyta; Magnoliopsida; Poales; Poaceae.
AUGUCGACGAUACCUCGACGGCUUCGAAGCCUAAUCAUCCCAGAGCAAGCUUCUGAAAGUGUACAACCAGAUGAAGAAAAUUUACAAGGCCCUCCAGAGAUUGAUGAUCUAGUACCAAAAAAGCCUCCUGAAUCUACUAGGCAAAUUAAAAUAAUUUGGCCAAAUGGAGAUGUGCGACAGAUUAUAGGGGAAUUCCGAGGUAAAAAUUUGUCGGAAUUACGUGGGGGGAAGAUAAUUGUGGAGACUGACGGAAGUGGAAUUCCAAAUGGAAGGUCGGCUGCCAUUCUCGGUCAGCAUCUUACCUGGCUUGCAGAAAACUCAACAUUUGCACCAUUGCAUAUUCCAAGAUGGGACAAUGAAUUGUUUCUACAAAAACAUGGGCAGAUGAUCACAGAUGUGGAGGAGAAAUUUAUCUACCCCAAUGAGACUAGACAACUUAUGAGAGACUGGAUCCUAUUGAAUAUUAACAAAAAAUGGAGAGUGUAUAAGUCUCGUUUGAAGAGUAAAUAUUUCAACCGUGACAAGAAGUCUUUGGCUAAAAUUGUAGCAGCUGUUCCCAAAGGUGUUAAUGAACAUCAAUGGGGUACUCUUGUUGGGUUUUGGUGCCAGGAUUCACACAUGAAAUUAUGUGAAAAGAACACCGAGUGUGCAAAGAAGCAGAAGACUCCACAUACAACCGGGAGAAAAAGCCAUGCUAGGCUCAAAAAAGAGAUGGAAAUUAAGAGCAAUCGAAAGGUUAGCAAGAUUGAACUAUGGGAUGAAGCUCAUAAGCAGAAGAAGGACGGUGAAUACAAAAAUGCGAAUACAAAGAUAGUGAUGGAGAAACUGGAAGAAAGAAAGAAAGGUAACAACGGGAGCCUUUCAUUUAGUGAUUAUAAAGAAGUAUUUAAAAGUGUGCAUGGGGAAGAGGCAAAAAAACUUCGAGGGUAUUAUGGUGAUAAGUAUUGGAGCGAAAUAAAAGUUUCUCAGGGACUGACUUUUGUUCAGCAUCCUGAGAAAGAAGGAAAUGUUCAAUUUAGACUGCGGGCACUAGGAGAUAAUGUAGAAAAUGUGACAGAUGAGUUGGCUAUGAUCCGUUCAUUCCUGAAGAGAAAGUUCCCCACAGAGGAUUUGAGAAAUGAAUUUGUAACCGCGGGAAGUGAUGAAGUUGAUCUCAAUGAAAGAGUUGUUGGCAGUGAUCUCCCAAAUGAAUCACAUAACGAAGCUGAAGAAUAUGCUCGAUUGAGUGCUAUGCAGGAACUACAUCCUAGCGAUUGUGCGCGGACUAAAGAGUGUUACACCGGUUUAUCGUUACCACAAGAAAAAAUGGUUGCUAAGAAGGCACGCAUUGAAAUGUUUGAAAAGGACAAUCAAGGCCGCGCAGAAUCAACCAAAGAGGGUUACACCAAUGAAGGAAGUGCAGAAUUAACUUUGCCGGAUAAGCAGAUUACUGCCCAGGAAUUGCAUCCUAGCUUUUCUUCGAGAACCAAAGAGGAUUACACUGGUUCAUCUUUACCAAACAUGGUUUCUAAGAAAGCGCACAUUGAAAAAAAUGAUAGGAUAAAUCAAGGUUGUGCAGAAUCAACUUUACUGGACAAGAUUAACCAGGAAUUGCAUCCUAGCAAUUGUGCAAGAACCAAAGAGGGUUGCACUAGUUUAUUUUCAUCACAUGAACAUACAGUUGCUAAGAAAGCACAUGAUGGUCCUGAAGCAAAGAAUGGUCAUGCUGAAAAUAACAAUGCGACCAAGCAAGGUGGUCCUGAACCAAGUGUACAACUUCAUCGCAUCACUAAGCAGGAUAAAAUGAAAGUCUUCUUGGUUUCAUUGAACCCGAGAUGCAAAGAUAAAUUUGUGGCCAAUGGAACUUUAGUGAGUAGAGAUAUGACAUAUGUGGUUGGAGGAAACAUGCUUGGAGAGCAAUAUGUAGCGGUCUCUGUUUGUGCUGUUUCAAAACUUGGAGAUCAGACACUGGUUAGACCAUAUGGAAAAUUGCAAGUAGUAAGGGAUCCUAUUGGUCAUGUUAUUGCGUGGCCUCUAUCACAUGUUAAAAAACCGAAAUUAACCAUUCCUACACAACCUCAAAACAAGCCACCAAACACUGGGCAGCUCAAGAUUUAG